RNAcentral lists this ribosomal RNA (497 nucleotides) under uncultured bacterium. Its description in RNAcentral is "partial 16S ribosomal RNA". It matches the Rfam family "Bacterial small subunit ribosomal RNA", at positions 28 to 507 of the family's 1533-position model. The record is from RNAcentral.
GAUGAACGCUGGCGGCGUGCCUAAUACAUGCAAGUCGAGCGAACGGACGAGAAGCUUGCUUCUCUGAUGUUAGCGGCGGACGGGUGAGUAACACGUGGAUAACCUACCUAUAAGACUGGGAUAACUUCGGGAAACCGGAGCUAAUACCGGAUAAUAUUUUGAACCGCAUGGUUCAAAAGUGAUAGACGGUCUUGCUGUCACUUAUAGAUGGAUCCGCGCUGCAUUAGCUAGUUGGUAAGGUAACGGCUUACCAAGGCAACGAUGCAUAGCCGACCUGAGAGGGUGAUCGGCCACACUGGAACUGAGACACGGUCCAGACUCCUACGGGAGGCAGCAGUAGGGAAUCUUCCGCAAAGGGCGAAAGCCUGACGGAGCAACGCCGCGUGAGUGAUGAAGGUCUUCGGAUCGUAAAACUCUGUUAUUAGGGAAGAACAUAUGUGUAAGUAACUGUGCACAUCUUGACGGUACCUAAUCAGAAAGCCACGGCUAACUACGUG